GGGGACGUCGCCAAGUGGGAAGGCCCACGACUGAAGCUCGUGUAUCGGGGGUUCGAUUCCCCCCGUUCCCA
This 71-nucleotide transfer RNA is filed under the name Candidatus Pacearchaeota archaeon. RNAcentral's name for it is "tRNA-Phe". It matches the Rfam family "tRNA". Rfam says of the family: Transfer RNA (tRNA) molecules are approximately 80 nucleotides in length. The record is from RNAcentral. Lineage: Archaea; Nanobdellati.